RNAcentral lists this ribosomal RNA (681 nucleotides) under Triticum aestivum (bread wheat). RNAcentral's name for it is "partial small subunit ribosomal RNA". Lineage: Eukaryota; Viridiplantae; Streptophyta; Magnoliopsida; Poales; Poaceae. The record is from RNAcentral.
AUGGAGCUUCGCCGGACCCCGUGGUGCUGCGUUGGAGCUCUUGGCGCGCUGUUGAGAGCCGCAAUGGAGCUUCGUGGGGAUAACGAGGAGAUCGCGGCCAAGAUCUUCGGGACGCGGUGGUCGUCGUCGCGGACCGCUCCUCCGCCGACCCGCGCAAGUUCCCCGGUGCUAAGGUACCUCGAGGAGUUCGCGCGGCGGUUCGACCCCCUCGGGCUGGUCCGGUUCGGGACGGAGGUGGUGAGCGUCCACCGCAGCAGGGACGACGACGCGGGCUGGAGGGUGAGGCUCGCCUGCGCUGGCAGCGAGUUGGAGGAGGAGUUAGGUGCAAUCUCUGCCCUGAAAUCAUCACGAAAUGCCUUUGCUGGAGCUCACCUAUGGCCUUGUUUGUCCUGCAGGUUAGUGAGCAGCAUCAGGAGGAGGAGCUUCCUCACUCCGCCCCGGAUCUGCGGCUGCCCCACGCUGGCCAUGGACUCCGUCCUAGGGUUUCCACCGCCGCCGCCGGAGAGGGGAGGGGAGGAGUGUAGAAGGACCAGAGCGAGAUGGCCGGACGGCUCCUCGGGCAGCUCCUCGUCAUGGGCAGCGCCGUCGUCGGCAGGGCCGUGGUGCAGGCCUACCGCCAGACCAUCGUCAGUGAGUGCCCUUGCUGUCCAAAACUCGGUGGAAUUUUGCAGCUAUUCCUAG